This 5245-nucleotide long non-coding RNA is filed under the name Triticum aestivum (bread wheat). RNAcentral's name for it is "long non-coding RNA (TAES_LNC010762)". Lineage: Eukaryota; Viridiplantae; Streptophyta; Magnoliopsida; Poales; Poaceae. The record is from RNAcentral.
GACAGGCCCAAAGUCUCGCUCGUCUCCCUUUCUAACGGUGGACACACACGGGACUCGGAUCUUGGGUCGUCGGAGAAGAAUCAGCAGCAGGAAAUCAACCGGAGAAGGAUGCACACCAGGUACUCGAUGGUUUCCCCCCAGCACUAACUUUGUGCUGAGUUCGUUUUUGUUAUUUUUUGGUUUAUGACUGAAGUGAGGAGAAGCUACACACUGCUCUCUCCUUUACAGCCUCACGCUCACUGCGUGUGUCCAGGUCAUGCAGUACAGCACGACACUAUCACCUUGCCCAUGCCUGCUAUACGUGUGCAGAGCAUGUCAACAGUGCCCAGGACAUGAGCUACACCUAUGCUACAUGCCCUGCUUUAUUUGUUACAGUUUUACACAAGUGAAAACCCCAAGCUAAAUUACAGAGGACAAGAAUAACUCGCUGUCAGUCUCCCCCUUAAGCUUGUUCUCUGUUCUUCACCGAGCGAAUGCCAAUUCUCUCUUGCAGCUCAAUGAACUUGACCCGCGGCAUUGGCUUCGUCAGUAAAUCUGCAAGUUGGUCCCCGGUGCUCACAUGUUCCACCGUGAUCUUCCCUGUUUCAACACAAUCACGAAUGAAAUGAUAUCUAAUGUCAAUAUGCUUGCUUCGAUCAUGUAGCACUGGGUUUUUGCACAAAGAUAUGGUUGACUUAUUGUCAACUUUCAUCUUCACUACUUGCUCUUCUUUCUCCUGCAACCCUGCCAGCAAUCUGCUCAACCAAAUUGCUUGACAUGCUGCUGUGGCAGCAGCAAUGUACUCAGCUUCACAUGAUGAUAUAGCAACAACCUUCUGUUUUUGAGAUGCCCAAGUGACCAAGUUUGAGCCCAAGAAGAACACUGUCCCUGAUGUACUCUUCCUGUCUUCAAUAUCUCCAGCAAGAUCACUGUCAGAAUAACCCAAAAGUCUUGGUUCUCCUUCCACUCCUUUUCUGUAGUGGCAGCCAUAGUUUAUAGUACCACGUAAGUAUCUCAGAAUUUGCCUGAUUGCAUUCAUGUGAUGCACAGUUGGUUCUUCCAUGAAGCGACUAACUAUGCCCACUGAAAAAGCCAAAUCUGGUCUUGUGUUUACAAGGUACCUGAGACUGCCAACUAAACUUCUGAAGUAAGUAGAAUCAACCUUUUGAUCCUUUGUUGACUUACAGAGUUUGAUUUUUGGCUCCAUUGGUACUUGGCUGGGAUUGCACUCAGACAUGCCUGCCUUUUCCAAAAUCUUCUCAGCAUAACUUGCCUGACAGAUUGUAAUCCCCUCUGUGGUUUGAGCUACCUCAAUGCCCAAGUAAUAUGAUAGCAACCCUAAAUCACUCAUUUUGAAGAGUUCCAUCAUUUGGUCCUUGAAUUUUUCUAUCUCAUCUUGGCUGGACCCCGUAAUGAUCAGAUCAUCAACAUACACACCCACAAUCAGCCGAGCCCCCCUUGAGCACUUCACAUAGACCCCAUGCUCAAGUGGACAUCUUGCAAAACCAAGUGACAAGAGACUUUCAUCAAGUUUGAUGUUCCAAGCUCGUGGAGCUUGUUUCAGCCCAUAUAGGGCUUUUUUCAAUUUUAGCACUCUAUGCUCUUGGCCUUCUUUCUCAUACCCAGGAGGUUGGAUGACAUAGACAUCCUCACACAGUUCCCCAUUCAAGAAGGCAGAUUUUACAUCCAUAUGGUGAACUUGCCACUCCUCCUGUGCAGCUAGAGCAACGAGCAACCUCAGAGUCUCUAACCGGGCUACAGGGGCAUAUACUUCUUCAUAGUCAAUUCCUUGUCUUUGGACAUACCCUUUUGCAACCAAACGAGCUUUGUGUUUCACUAUUGCUCCUGAAGGAUCCUUUUUUAUUUUGUACACCCAUUUCAAACCAAUGGGCUUCUGAUCCUUAGGUGGAUCUACCAUGAUCCAAGUUUCAUUUUCGACAAUGGAGUUUAUCUCUUCAUCCAUUGCUCUGCACCAACAUGCUUCCUUUCUUGCUUCAACAAGAUUCGAGGGCUCCUCUGCACUCAACAUGCAUAAAUCUGAAUCAAUAAGUUCAUAUGGUUCAGUUUGAUCUAGCAAUUCUUGCAGAUUUCUAUAGCCUUGUGGUCCAGCACUUGCAGAUGCUGCUGCUCCUGUCUCAUCCCCAUCAACACUACCAACGCCUCUUGCUGGUGCUGUAAGCGGGGUUGAGAAUGUGUCUUCUCCUGAUGUUGUUUGAGCUGCAGGUGUGUGUGGUGAGCCAAGAUCAGCAUCACCAUGCACUUCCUCCCCCUGUUUCGGCACUUCUGAAAAUUCCCUUGUUUCAGUAUUUUCAUCUUCAGGGUAGAAUACAGCAAACUCUGCAUCUGAGCUUUCAUCUUCUUGCUGUUGCAUAGAACUCCAGUCCCACUGAGCAUUUUCAUCAAAUAUAACAUCACGUGAGACUAGGAGCUGCUUGUUGACCGGAUCAUACAGUCGAUAAGCUUUUGCAUUAGUUUCAUAACCAAGCAUUACCGUUUUGACACUUCGAUCAGCAAGCUUUGGCAGAUGUGGUUUGGUUACCUUGGCAUAAGCAACUGAACCAAAUGUUCUCAGGUGCUGGACGCUUGGCUUCUUGUUUUUCCAGGCCUCAUAAGGUGUAAUAUUGGUCAAGCUUUUCGUUGGCGCUCUGUUCAAUAAAUACACAGCCGUGGCCACUGCUUCACCCCAGAACUUUCCAGGUACAUUUUUGCUUUUUAAUAAACUUCUUGCCAUGCUAACCACUGUUUGAUUUCUCCUCUCCACAACCCCAUUCUGCUGAGGUGAGUAAGGUGCUGUCAUAUAAUGAAUGAUUCCAUUUUCCCCACAAUAUGCCUUGAACUCUUUGGAAUUGAAUUCCCCACCCCUGUCUGUUCUCAAUGACUUGAGGCUUGAUUCAGCUUGUUUCUCUGCUUGGUUUUUCACCAAUUUGAAAGCAUCUAGCGCUUGAUCUUUCGUCUUCAGGAGCACUACCCACAUGUAUCUGCUGUGAUCAUCUACAAGCAAUAGGAAAUACCUUUUGCCUGCAGGUGUAGCUGGUGAGAUUGGGCCACACAAGUCUCCAUGAACUAACACCAAAGGCUUCUUUGCUCUGUAAGAAGUUGCUUUUGGGAAUGAUGCACGCCUCUGCUUGCUGAUGAGGCAUCCAACACAGAUUUGAUCAAUGUGAUCAAUACAUGGUAACCCCUUUACCAUCCCUUUUCUUGCUAACUCCCUAAGUGCCUUGAAGUUUAAGUGUCCAUAUCUCGCGUGCCACUUCCAUGCUUCAUCACCAGUACUAGCUUUCAGACACACGGGCUUAGCCAUAAUCAGAUCUAGGAUAUAGAGUCUAUUCCGUGUUCGCUUCACAUUUGCCAACAACUUCCUCUCAGUAUCGAAGAUCUGAAGAUAAUCAUCCUCAAUUAUCAUCUUGCAGCCACGUUCAGACAAUUGACCAAUACUUAUAAUGUUACUCUUCAGAGCUGGUAUGAAAUACACAUUGGUUAGUGCCCUAUGCUCCCCAUUUUUGCAUUGGAAGAGCACAGUACCUAGGCCGUGUAUUUUCACUGUCGAUCCAUCCCCAAACUUUACUCUUCCAGUAACACUUGGAUCAAUUUCACUGAAUUUUUGUUCACAGCCACACAUAUGGUUGCUUGCUCCCGUGUCUAGGUACCAACUUCCAGUUUCUCUGUUUUCGUUACAGACCUGGAGCUGUACCUUGUCUUCAAUCAGAAAAACUUCACUUUGAUGUUUUUCUUCUCCAUGUGACAAAGAACAUGUUUGCAUCAUAAGCAGGGCUGGGCCAUCAUCACCCCCAUCUUGUUGAGCAAGAAGUGCUCUCUGUUUCUUAGGCUGCGUGCAAUCUCUUUUAAAAUGCCCUUUCCUACCACAGUUGUGGCAUUUGACUUUCCUAAUGUCAAAUUUCCAGUCGCUCUUCUGUGAAUCACUGGACUGCCCUUCAGUUUUUGGCUUCCCCUGUUCACUGUUCUUCCUUGAGCUACUGCUAGCUCGAUCGCCUCCUUUCUUCUUCUCCUCAUACUUCUGCCAUUGUGACCUUGAGAACAUCAAGUGUUCCCCUUCUUGUGGAUCACCAAAUCUCAUACGAACACGCUCAUCAUAUGCCUUGUAUCGCCCAAUUAAGUCCUCCACAGAAAGUGUGUUUAACGGAACACAUUGCUCUAUUGAAGUCACAAUUUGCAUAUACCUUGCAGGAGCAGCCUGAAGAAAUUUCUGAACUGACCGCAGUUCAGUGACCAUGUCACCAAGUGUCCGCAGCUUGGCGACCAGGGUGUUCAGCCGUGCUGCGAAGUCGUCGACGGCCUCGGCGUCACCCAUCUUGAGCUGCUCGAACUCAAGCCUCAUCGCCUGAAGGCUCGCCUGCUGCACGCGGUCGUGACCGACGUGCGCUGCGCGGAUGGUUUCCCACGCCGCCUUUGCCGAGUCCUUGCCAGCGAGGGACGGCAUGAAGGAAUCCGGCACGCUCUGGUAGAUGGCGUACAGGGCCUCUCGAUCUACCUCAUAAUCCACGGCCGUCCGCUCCACCGCCUCCCAGAUGCGCGCUGACUGCAUCGCCACCCUCAUCUUUAUCACCCAGAUGGAGUAGUUCAUCUUCGUCAGCUGCGGCCACACGAGCGGCCCGCGCGGCCGCCCGCUCUGCGCUACCGACACCGCCAACGGUAGCAGCUCGCUGCUGCCGGCAGUCUUCGCAUCCGCCUUGUCAGCAGCCCCCUUCCCCGCAUCAGCCAACGCCUUGGCGGCUUCCGCCUUGGCCGCUUCCGCCUCGGCGGCUUCCGCCUCCUCCUGCAGCGUCGGCGCCAUCUCCUUCUCCUAGCUCCUAACUUCGGCUCUGGUGCCAAAUGACAGGCCCAAAGUCUCGCUCGUCUCCCUUUCUAACGGUGGACACACACGGGACUCGAAUCUUGGGUCGUCGGAGAAGAAUCAGCAGCAGGAAAUCAACCGGAGAAGGAUGCACACCAGGUACUCGAUGGUUUCCCCCCAGCACUAACUUUGUGCUGAGUUCGUUUUUGUUAUUUUUUGGUUUAUGACUGAAGUGAGGAGAAGCUACACACUGCUCUCUCCUUUACAGCCUCACGCUCACUGCGUGUGUCCAGGUCAUGCAGUACAGCACGACACUAUCACCUUGCCCAUGCCUGCUAUACGUGUGCAGAGCAUGUCAACAGUGCCCAGGACAUGAGCUACACCUAUGCUACAUGCCCUGCUUUAUUUGUUACAGUUUUACACAAGUGAAAACCCCAAGCUAAAUUACAGAGGACAAGAAUAACUCGCUGUCAA